CGGGAAUUUUGGGCAAUGGGCGAAAGCCUGACCCAGCAACGCCGCGUGAGGGAUGAAGUAUUUCGGUAUGUAAACCUCGAAAGAAUGGGAAGAAUAAAUGACGGUACCAUUUAUAAGCUCCGGCUAACUACGUGCCAGCAGCCGCGGUAAUACGUAGGGAGCAAGCGUUGUUCGGAUUCACUGGGCGUAAAGGGUGCGUAGGUGGUGGGGUAAGUCGGAUGUGAAAUCUCGGAGCUAAACUCCGAAAUGGCAUUGGAAACUACCCUGCUAGAGGGUCGGAGGGGGGACUGGAAUUCUCGGUGUAGCAGUGAAAUGCGUAGAUAUCGAGAGGAACACCAGUGGCGAAGGCGAGUCCCUGGACGACUCCUGACACUGAGGCACGAAAGCUAGGGGAGCAAACA
RNAcentral lists this ribosomal RNA (401 nucleotides) under uncultured bacterium. Its description in RNAcentral is "bacterial SSU rRNA". It matches the Rfam family "Bacterial small subunit ribosomal RNA", at positions 356 to 774 of the family's 1533-position model. The record is from RNAcentral.